AUAAGGUUAAGUGAAUAAGGGCGCACGGUGGAUGCCUUGGCACUAGGAGCCGAUGAAGGACGGGACUAACACCGAUAUGCUUUGGGGAGCUGUACGUAAGCUAUGAUCCAGAGAUUUCCGAAUGGGGAAACCCAACAUCUUUUAUAGGAUGUUACGUUUGCGUGAAUACAUAGCGCAUUCGAGGUAGACGCAGAGAACUGAAACAUCUAAGUACCUGCAGGAAGAGAAAGAAAAUUCGAUUCCCUGAGUAGCGGCGAGCGAAACGGGAAAAGCCCAAACCAAUGAGCUUGCUCAUUGGGGUUGUAGGACUCCAAUAUGGUAGUUCUUUCAGAUAAUCGAAUGACUUGGAAAAGUCAGUCAAAGAGGGUAAAAACCCCGUAGAUGAAAUUUGGAAGGCACCUAGGAGGAUCCUGAGUACGGCGGAACACGAGGAAUUCCGUCGGAAUCCGGGAGGACCAUCUCCCAAGGCUAAAUACUCCCUAGUGACCGAUAGUGAACCAGUACCGUGAGGGAAAGGUGAAAAGCACCCCGGAAGGGGAGUGAAAUAGAACCUGAAACCGUGUGCCUACAACAAGUCAAAGCCCGUUAAUGGGUGAUGGCGUGCCUUUUGUAGAAUGAACCGGCGAGUUACGAUUGCAUGCGAGGUUAAGUCGAAGAGACGGAGCCGCAGCGAAAGCGAGUCUGAAUAGGGCGUUUGAGUAUGUAGUCGUAGACCCGAAACCAUGUGAUCUACCCAUGUCCAGGUUGAAGGUGCGGUAAAACGCACUGGAGGACCGAACCCACGUACGUUGAAAAGUGCGGGGAUGAGGUGUGGGUAGCGGAGAAAUUCCAAACGAACUUGGAGAUAGCUGGUUCUCUCCGAAAUAGCUUUAGGGCUAGCCUCGGAUUUGAGAAUGAUGGAGGUAGAGCACUGUUUGGACUAGGGGCCCAUCUCGGGUUACCGAAUUCAGAUAAACUCCGAAUGCCAUUCAUUCAUAUCCGGGAGUCAGACUGUGAGUGAUAAGAUCCAUAGUCGAAAGGGAAACAGCCCAGACCACCAGCUAAGGUCCCAAAAUAUAUGUUAAGUGGAAAAGGAUGUGGGGUUGCACAGACAACUAGGAUGUUGGCUCAGAAGCAGCCACCAUUUAAAGAGUGCGUAAUAGCUCACUAGUCGAGUGACCCUGCGCCGAAAAUGUACCGGGGCUAAACAUAUUACCGAAGCUGUGGAGUACACCAUUAGGUGUAUUGGUAGGAGAGCGUUCUAAGGGCGUUGAAGGCAGAUCGUGAGGACUGCUGGAGCGCUUAGAAGUGAGAAUGCCGGUAUGAGUAGCGAAAGACAGGUGAGAAUCCUGUCCACCGAAUGACUAAGGUUUCCUGGGGAAGGCUCGUCCGCCCAGGGUUAGUCGGGACCUAAGCCGAGGCCGACAGGCGUAGGCGAUGGACAACAGGUUGAUAUUCCUGUACUCGUUGUUUUUGUUUGAGCAAUGGAGGGACGCAGGAGGCUAAGGAAUGCAGACGAUUGGAAAUGUCUGUCCAAGCAGUAAGUCUUGAUAGGAGUCAAAUGCUUCUGUCUACACGGAUAAGCUGUGAUGGGGAGGGAAAUAAUAGUACCGAAGUUCCUGAUGUCACACUGCCAAGAAAAGCUUCUAGUGAGAAAACAAUGACCCGUACCGCAAACCGACACAGGUAGUCGAGGAGAGAAUCCUAAGGUGAGCGAGAGAACUCUCGUUAAGGAACUCGGCAAAAUGACCCCGUAACUUCGGGAGAAGGGGUGCUGAUCUUUGAUCAGCCGCAGUGAAUAGGCCCAAGCGACUGUUUAUCAAAAACACAGGUCUCUGCAAAAUCGUAAGAUGAAGUAUAGGGGCUGACGCCUGCCCGGUGCUGGAAGGUUAAGAGGAGUGCUUAGCGUAAGCGAAGGUACGAAUUGAAGCCCCAGUAAACGGCGGCCGUAACUAUAACGGUCCUAAGGUAGCGAAAUUCCUUGUCGGGUAAGUUCCGACCCGCACGAAAGGCGUAACGAUUUGGGCACUGUCUCAACGAGAGACUCGGUGAAAUUUUAGUACCUGUGAAGAUGCAGGUUACCCGCGACAGGACGGAAAGACCCCAUGGAGCUUUACUGUAGUUUGAUAUUGAGUGUCUGUACCGCAUGUACAGGAUAGGUAGGAGCCGUAGAAAUCGGAACGCUAGUUUCGAUGGAGGCGCUGGUGGGAUACUACCCCUGCGUUAUGGCCACUCUAACCCGCACCACUGAUCGUGGUGGGAGACAGUGUCAGAUGGGCAGUUUGACUGGGGCGGUCGCCUCCUAAAAGGUAACGGAGGCGCCCAAAGGUUCCCUCAGAAUGGUUGGAAAUCAUUCGAAGAGUGUAAAGGCAGAAGGGAGCUUGACUGCGAGACCAACAAGUCGAGCAGGGACGAAAGUCGGGCUUAGUGAUCCGGUGGUUCCGCAUGGAAGGGCCAUCGCUCAACGGAUAAAAGCUACCCUGGGGAUAACAGGCUUAUCUCCCCCAAGAGUCCACAUCGACGGGGAGGUUUGGCACCUCGAUGUCGGCUCGUCGCAUCCUGGGGCUGUAGUCGGUCCCAAGGGUUGGGCUGUUCGCCCAUUAAAGCGGCACGCGAGCUGGGUUCAGAACGUCGUGAGACAGUUCGGUCCCUAUCCGUCGCGGGCGUUGGAAAUUUGAGAGGAGCUGUCCUUAGUACGAGAGGACCGGGAUGGACUUACCGCUGGUGUACCAGUUGUUCUGCCAAGGGCAUUGCUGGGUAGCUAUGUAGGGAAGGGAUAAACGCUGAAAGCAUCUAAGUGUGAAGCCCACCUCAAGAUGAGAUUUCCCAUUUCUUUAAGAAAGUAAGAUCCCUGAGAGAUGAUCAGGUAGAUAGGUCAGGAGUGGAAGGCCAGUGAUGGUUGGAGCGGACUGAUACUAAU
Molecule: ribosomal RNA, 2899 nt
Filed under: Bifidobacterium pseudocatenulatum
Lineage: Bacteria; Bacillati; Actinomycetota; Actinomycetes; Bifidobacteriales; Bifidobacteriaceae
Description: partial 23S ribosomal RNA
Rfam family: Bacterial large subunit ribosomal RNA
Source: RNAcentral